RNAcentral lists this ribosomal RNA (371 nucleotides) under uncultured organism. Its description in RNAcentral is "partial 16S ribosomal RNA". It matches the Rfam family "Bacterial small subunit ribosomal RNA", at positions 527 to 896 of the family's 1533-position model. The record is from RNAcentral.
GUAGGUGGCAAGCGUUGUCCGGAAUUAUUGGGCGUAAAGCGCGCGCAGGCGGUCCUUUAAGUCUGAUGUGAAAGCCCACGGCUCAACCGUGGAGGGUCAUUGGAAACUGGGGGACUUGAGUACAGAAGAGGAAAGCGGAAUUCCAAGUGUAGCGGUGAAAUGCAUAGAGAUUUGGAGGAACACCAGUGGCGAAGGCGGCUUUCUGGUCUGUAACUGACGCUGAGGCGCGAAAGCGUGGGGAGCAAACAGGAUUAGAUACCCUGGUAGUCCACGCCGUAAACGAUGAGUGCUAAGCGUUAGGGGGUUUCCGCCCCCCUUAGUGCUGCAGCUAACGCAUUAAGCACUCCGCCUGGGAUACGGCCGCAAGGCUG